UACCCGCUGAACUUAAGCAUAUCAAUAAGCGGAGGAAAAGAAACUAACAAGGAUUCCCCUAGUAACGGCGAGUGAAGCGGGAAAAGCUCAAAUUUGUAAUCUGGCGCCUUUGGCGUCCGAGUUGUAAUCUCGAGAAGUAUUUUCCGCGCUGGACCGCACAUAAGUCUGUUGGAAUACAGCGUCAUAGUGGUGAGAACCCCGUAUAUGGUGCGGAUGCCCAGUGCUUUGUGAUAUACUUUCGAAGAGUCGAGUUGUUUGGGAAUGCAGCUCAAAUGGGGUGGUAAAUUCCAUCUAAAGCUAAAUAUUGGCGAGAGACCGAUAGCGAACAAGUACCGUGAGGGAAAGAUGAAAAGCACUUUGGAAAGAGAGUUAACAGUACGUGAAAUUGUUGGAAGGGAAACGCUUGAAGUCAGACUUGCAUUUUGGAGUUCAGCCGCAAGGUGUAUUCUCCAAUUCGCAGGCCAGCAUCAGUUUUCGGGGGUGGAAAAUCGCGGUUUGAAGGUAGCAGCCUCGGCUGUGUUAUAGCUUUCCGCUGGAUUCAUUUUUGGGGACUNNNGAAUGCAGUACGCUUUUUGCAAGAUUUUAGAUC
This 589-nucleotide ribosomal RNA is filed under the name Microbotryum onopordi. RNAcentral describes it as "LSU rRNA". It matches the Rfam family "Eukaryotic large subunit ribosomal RNA", at positions 22 to 625 of the family's 3401-position model. The record is from RNAcentral. Lineage: Eukaryota; Fungi; Basidiomycota; Microbotryomycetes; Microbotryales; Microbotryaceae.